AAAUCUCUGUUGGUGGCUCAUGUCCUCAUCUCAGAUCGGGGUGAUGUUGUGAUCAGACAGAAACCCGACUUCCCAUAGCUGCUCAGUAUGGUAUGGUACCUCUGAUUUAUCUUUCUCAACUUCUAAUUUAGAGCAUGGUCUUCUCUGUACUAAUUAGAUGUUGCAUUCCUACAAGGCCGAGUCAGGGGCUCAAGCCAGGCGUGAUAACAGGCAAACAUGGAUUAGAAAGUUGUCCCACAACUCCCCUUUUCUAUUUCUUAGUUCAAUAUGCAUGUCUUUUUUUUCUAUGGGUUGAUAACUCCAGCUGUCCCAAAUUUGAUGAUGCGUUUCUUUCCCAUGUUUCUUCUACAGGUUCUGAGAUAGUUAAUCAUGGAUUGGAAAACUCUAAUGUGUGACAUUGUAGUUCUCAUGAUGUAGAUUAUUUAGAUUUUCAAGCUAUUGGCAUUGAUACUUUUUCUCCUAAUACACCAUACCAAGGGUGAGUAGUUCACGAGUAAUGGUGACAGGAUUUUUUUAAUGCAGAGACCUUUGGAAAUUGGAAAUGUCCAAUUAUGUAUAAUCGAUGUUAUUGUUACCUACUUACCAUUUAGUUGGUUGCUGAAUUCAUCUCAGUGUUCAUAUAAUCUUUGGAUAAUUGUUAGUAGUAAAUACAUGCUGAUGGUUGCUCAUAGUGAACACGCACAUCUGAUUGAUCAAAGAUGAUCGGUGUAUUAAUGUACUCGUACUAAGUUAUCUAUAAGACACGCAUGAGCAUAUGUCUUUACUCCCACCGAUCUUUUCUUGGACACUUGGUAAUUUUUCUGUGGAUCCUUUUCAGUACAAUGCAUAGCAUGUAUAUUUUUAAACUUAAAAUCUCGAAUUUAUGACUAAAUAGUAUUAUGUUUUUUUCUGUAGGUUGAGAAGUUCAGUACUAGAUGAUUAAUUGGAUCUUUGUCCUUGGAGACUAUAUGCUGAUGCUUGGUACUUGCAAGAGAAUGGAGGAAGUUCUAUGAAUGUUUAGAAUUUUAUAUCAUGUAAAAUGUUUUAUCUCCUAAGCAAGUGAUGUACUCCUAAUUGAUGGUACUUGCAUUGCAAUGUAAAUAUUGUACAAUUGAAUCAAUAUACCAGUUUCAUUUCAACUCCAUCAAUUU
RNAcentral lists this long non-coding RNA (1130 nucleotides) under Triticum aestivum (bread wheat). RNAcentral's name for it is "long non-coding RNA (TAES_LNC004844)". Lineage: Eukaryota; Viridiplantae; Streptophyta; Magnoliopsida; Poales; Poaceae. The record is from RNAcentral.